UGGGGAAUAUUGGACAAUGGGCGCAAGCCUGAUCCAGCCAUGCCGCGUGAGUGAUGAAGGCCUUAGGGUUGUAAAGCUCUUUCGCCGGUGAAGAUAAUGACGGUAACCGGAGAGGAAGCCCCGGCUAACUUCGUGCCAGCAGCCGCGGUAAUACGAAGGGGGCCUAGCGUUGCUCGGAAUCACUGGGCGUAAAGCGCACGUAGGCGGAUCGUUAAGUCAGGGGUGAAAUCCUGGGGCUCAACCUCAGAACUGCCCUUGAUACUGGCGAUCUCGAGUUCGAGAGAGGUUGGUGGAACUCCGAGUGUAGAGGUGAAAUUCGUAGAUAUUCGGAAGAACACCAGUGGCGAAGGCGGCCAGCUGGCUCGAUACUGACGCUGAGGUGGCGAAAGCGUGGGGAGCAAACAGGAUUAGAUACCCUGGUAGUCCACGCCGUAAAACGAUGGAUGCUAGCCGUUGGGGAGCUUGCUCUUCAGUGGCGCAGCUAACGCCUUAAGCAUCCCGCCUGGGGNGUACGGUCGCAAGAUUAAAACUUAAAGGAAUUGACGGGGUCAUAGCUGUUUCCUG
RNAcentral lists this ribosomal RNA (564 nucleotides) under uncultured bacterium. Its description in RNAcentral is "partial 16S ribosomal RNA". It matches the Rfam family "Bacterial small subunit ribosomal RNA", at positions 355 to 1376 of the family's 1533-position model. The record is from RNAcentral.